RNAcentral lists this ribosomal RNA (177 nucleotides) under uncultured bacterium. RNAcentral's name for it is "partial 16S ribosomal RNA". It matches the Rfam family "Bacterial small subunit ribosomal RNA", at positions 335 to 525 of the family's 1533-position model. The record is from RNAcentral.
ACUCCUACGGGAGGCAGCAGUGGGGAAUAUUGCGCAAUGGGCGAAAGCCUGACGCAGCGACGCAGCGUGAGGGACGACGGCCUUCGGGUUGUAACCUCUUUCAGCGGGGACGAAGCGAAAGUGACGGUACCCGCAGAAGAAGCACCGGCUAACUACGUGCCAGCAGCCGCGGUAAUG